UACGUAGGGGGCGAGCGUUGUCCGGAAUCAUUGGGCGUAAAGAGCGUGUAGGCGGACUGGAAGGUCUGGUGUGAAAGCCCGGGGCUCAACCCCGGAGGGUCACUGGAAACCAACAGUCUUGAAUCUGGAAGAGGAGAGUGGAAUUCCUGGUGUAGCGGUGGAAUGCGCAGAUAUCAGGAGGAACACCAAUGGCGAAGGCAGCUCUCUGGGCUGACACUGACGCUCAUGCACGAAAGCGUGGGGAGCAAACAGG
Molecule: ribosomal RNA, 253 nt
Filed under: uncultured bacterium
Lineage: Bacteria
Description: partial 16S ribosomal RNA
Rfam family: Bacterial small subunit ribosomal RNA
Source: RNAcentral